AAGAAAGGAGUCUUUAAAGUAGUAUAUAAAUGUGUGAUUCAUUAUUAAUAUAAUAUAUAUAAAAUUACAAACAAUAGAGUCAAGUAACUUGAAAAACAACUAAAAAUGCAUAAACUUUAUCAUCCAAAAAGGAGUAGCGGAUAUUAUCCGCUUUACUUCCAUUAUGGUGUAAUUCAUACUGUAUUUCUUAGUCAUACAAUUAAUACAAUAAAAAUACUACUAUCAUUAUAACCUCAUAUAAUUUCAUCACAUAAAUGAGGCAAUGUGUGUACUAUUAGUGAAUAUAUUUAUUUAAUACAUAAUGCAACAUAUCUAGGGUAUUAUGGAUUGAAAGUGAUUUGGGAGAAAAAUGGAGAGGAGAAAAAAGAAUUGGUUGAUUCGGACUGUUGGGAACUGGAUGGAGCCCUGGGUGAAUGCACAGUGGAAUGUUGAAAAAGAAUCAGUGGAUGGAAUGCUAGAAAUGUGGGAUGACUUCCUUCAAGGAAAUGAUAUACUAAAUCUCGAUAAAUCUGACAAAGAUGAUUUUGGUAAAGAUGGCGAUGGUGAGGGUGUUGGUAGUGUGGUGUUGUUUGAGAGAAAACGCCGCAUCACAUUGUGCUUGUCAUUUUUACGACAAAGAAGUAAGCUAGGAUGAAGAAUUUGGAGGAGCCAUUGAUGAUAACUUGAGAAUUUGUAUUGAGGAUGAAGAUAGUUGGAAUUUGAUGAGAUAGAAAAUGGGGAUGAUGGUCUUUUUGAUAAUUAAAGGGGUUUUAAAAAAGAGAGAAAUUUAAUAUAAUAAAGCCGCUUACUUUCUUUAAAUAUUUUACUUUGGUCUAAAAGUAUUUUGUGGUUUAAAUUGUUGCUAAUUAUAGAGGUAGAAUACAAUGAUUUUUAUUCAUUCUAUUCUAUUAUCAAUUUUAUUUAGGAUUGUAUUGGGAUGAAGAUCAUAUUAUUUGAUAAUCCUUCUAUAUUGGGUCUAGAAAUCUAAAAUCUAACAAUUUAAUAAAUAGACAAACCAUCUUGUAAGCAAGCUACUGAGCUAUAAAUGUAGAAGUACAUUUGUACAAUAAAGUUUAACAUUGCUAUUUUGAGUUUAGAUAAACUCACACUUCAAUGGUACUUCAAAUUGAAGUAGAUUGAAAGUUACAAUAUAUAAAAUACAUCACGGAUAAACCUCUAUAAUUUAUUAAAGAUGAUAAAUGAGGUUAUAAAAAAGAAAGAUAUAAAAAGAACUAAAAGGAGUACAAAAAAUAAUUAAAAUGGCAUCAAGGACUACUUCAACAUCAGUUCACAAAAUCUAUUCAAUCUGUAUCGACCAUCAAAAAGAGCAAAACAAAUAAAAGAAGCACAUAUCAAAAUGAACAAACAACGGCCAACCAAAUAAAGACGAUAUAAGCAUAUUUGAAUCGAGAUCAAAGUAACUGAGAUCAAAUCACUUACCUCUUUUAGUUUUAGAUAUUCAUGUUCUAUUGACUAACAGAUCGAUCUCCCUACAUGUACAACGAAACAUCAAUAUCCAUCACAUAAGAUUUUAGUCAUAUACCGAACGGACUGUUAGUGUGGCUGAUAAACCAUCAGUAUAGAUGUAUAACUACAUACAUUUAAACAAAGGUAUAUGAUCGAUCAUGUAUAAAAAAUACUAUAGGUUUCCGUAAACAAGAUUGUUUUCUUCUUUUUUUAUACUUUCCAUCUAUAUAUUAUUAUAUUAUUAUUUAUAUUAUUAUUAUUAUAUUAUUAUUAUUAUAUUUAUAUUAUUAUUAUUAUUAUAUUAUUUUAUUAUUUUAUUAUCUAUUAUUACUUUUCAAUUUUAUCUUCUCUUAUUUUAAAGUAGUUAAAAAUAUUUAAUAAUUUUAAAAUAAAAAUGAAAGAUGGAAAGUAUAUAUUUAUUUAUAAAAAAAAGGAAAAGUUAAAUAAUCAUAAUAAUGUUUAAGAGUUCUCUGAAGAUUUAAAUUUACACUAUUACAAAAAUAUCUACACCAAAAACAUAUAUGUUAACCUACAAAGAUCAAUUAUUUCUUCCAUCCGUUUUUAUUUUCAAAGCGAUUCCUCCAAAAUUCCUUUUCUCUCUAAAAUUUCAUUUUCACACAAUAUUAUUCCCUUUCAAAAUCUUGUUACCUCGGUACUCUUUCUUACAAGUAUAUUACCUUCCUAAAUAUUCUAAACCAUAACCAUAAGCGAAAAUACAUAAGUUGUCGGCGAAGACAAUAUGUUAAUCAAUUUCCUGGACGAGAAGAGAAACUAAUUGUCAAUAAUGACAGGAGAUUUGAGUGCUAUAUGGCUAGGAAGGUAAUACGUUAUUCUAGUAUCUGGCAAGUCUUUCCUUUUCUUUUCUUUGUUAAAUUUCCUAGAUUGUUUUUAGGCGCUUUGAAUUAAAUCACCCACGACUCUUAACCGUACUUAACGAAACUAUUGUUUCACGUUCAGCAAACCCUCUUCUCCUCCUAGCCUUCUCUGGUACAAUGAAAAACAAGAAAGAGAGAAUCAAUAACAUCUGCCAAAAAAAACAACACGAGAUUUGCUACUUUGAAUCAAGUUAAUUAGGUGAAAUUUGCAACCCAAAUUGAGUAUCAUGAUAAAUCAAGUUAAUUAGGUGAAAUUCACAACCAAAUUUAUUGAAGUUUGCUACUUUAAAAUUUGUCAUGAAGUUCAUUAAGCAUAUGAAUUUGUGAAAUUUAUCACUCUAAUUACUAACAUUUAGAAUAUCAUCCUCUAAAAGGUGUCAGAGGCUAGAACAUCAUAGUCCUGAGCGGACACCUCUAAAAGAGUCAGCGUUGAAUAGCAUGACCUCUGAGCUUUGUUAGCUUCUGAACCAUCAACUUCUGAAGAAGUCAGGGUGGGAACUAAUUAUAAAUCGCUAGAGUCAUAAGAAACUUAUUAAGAGAUGGUUGGGAGUCUGACCAGCUUCGAGAAGGUGGCUGGAGUCUGAAGCAGCUUCUACAGAGUGACUGAGUCUGAAGAUGCAGAUCUAGAAGUUAUCGUUUCUGAUGUUAUGCAUUUGGUGAAGUUUGAUUAAGGACAUGUGUGUAUUAAUUCAAGCUUAGUUAGUAGUUAUUACUUAUGUAAUAAAUAUACUACUAUGUAAUUUGACAACUCCCUUAAAUAAUAAUAUCAUUUAUUCUCAUUCUCAUCUCUCUUCUCUUCCCUCCUCUCCAAUACUCUUUAUCUUUCUCUCAAUUAAGUUCCGUAACGUAGGUGUAAUAACACCAAGGUGGAUGUGGAAGAUGGAAUAUUUUGUUAGGAAAGUAGGAAGCGGUGGCAUAGUGAGUUUAGGAAGAGAUGGAAUGUUUAGUUGCGAUGCCAUGUUGGAAUAUUUCCAAGUAAAUGUGGCAAUGUUUGAAUCAAGGUAAAGGUGGCAAUGUUGUUAGAUUUUGCAAUUUUAUUUUAGAUAAACUUAGUUGUAUGGUGAUUACAAAUGAUUGCGAGCUUCUAGAGUUGUAACUGACUUGUCACAUAAAAAGUAAAGCGUGAUGAAGGAUUUUGUUGAGCCAUUGAUAACUUUGGAGCUGUAAGAGUAAUCAUUAGUAUUGAACUAUUUUCUUUGAAUUUUAUGAGAAGAAAAUGACUUCUAUAUGGUUUAUAUUGGUGUAAGAUAUUUGAAGGAUGGUAGUUUAGUGACAUUGAGAGCAUUUGAAAUCUUAACUUUGUUUAACUUCCUUAUUGGAUUUUGACGAGAGCAUUUUUUUUUUUUUUUUUUAUUUUUGGUUUUUUUUUUUUUUUGUUUUUUUUUUUUUUUUUUUUUUUCUUUUUUUUUUUUUUUUUGUGUUUUUUUUUUUUUUUGUGCAUUUGCUUUGCCCGGGCUUGUUGUUUUAUUUUUUUUUUUUCUUUUUUUUUUUGGUCUUUUUUUUGAUCGGACAGGGUGGUGCCUUGCGGUGAGAGCUGUCGGGAUUUUGUUUUGUUUUUUUUUUUUUGUUGUCUUUUUUUUUUUUUUUUUUUUUUUUUUUUUUUUUUUUUUUUUUUUGUUUUUUUUUUUUUUUUUUUUUUUGUUUUUGUUUUUGUUUCAUUUUUUUUUUUUCUGUUUUUAUGUGUUCAUAUAUGGCCUACAAUAAGUAAAGCACUCAAUGAGUUUGAGAGACACACACUUUUCAAUCCAAGCUCUUCAUCACCAAACCACCCGUUAACCUAGAUGAACUCCUAUUGCUUCUAACGAUUAUUGUGGUGAUGUUCAUUGAGACUUGUAUCAUGAUUCGUCACUUUGCAAACAUAAUAUUAAUAGUAAUCGCCAUUACAAGGUGUUAAUUAAAUUGAACUUUCGCUUACCAGAGUAAACUCAUUAUAGAAUUGUUGAAAAGGUACAAAACUAUGUGAUAAAUUAAAAAACAAACUACAGGUGUGACGAUGACAAUAAGAGACCCCAUAAUUAACCUCAAUGUAAAAGCAUGCGAGUCUCACGUUGCAGUGGGGCACAAGAUGAAAUUUCAGCUAAUCUAAACUAAAACAGUAGAUAAAUUAGUAAUAUGCACGCUAAAAUUUACAUAUUAAAUUCGCAUUCUCUAAUAAGUAUAUGAUUAAUAAAAUCACAAACUAGAAAAUGGAUAACUCAAGAAAACAACAGUUUGACCUACUCCACAAAAACUUAUCACACAAUAAUCAAAGAGAUAACCUUGGUGAAAAUAUAACAACGGUAGUCUCAACAAAACCAACCAAUUUUUACUAUUAUACUGUGCCUAACUUUUUUUUAAAAUGACGUCUAUCAUUUAAUUGUUCUGAUGUUUUUUUUCAUAUUUAAAAUUGUUGUAUGUUUAAAUUACUUUAAGUUUUCUACAAAGAUUUUGUCAGGUUUCUUAAAAUUCAAGCAUUUUAUUUUUAAUGGAAGGAUAUUGAUCCUUCACCGAAAUCUCAUGUUGAAAACAACAUUCGAAAAUAACUUUAAAGAGUAAAAAUACAUCACAUGAACACAUAAAUUAAAGAAAAAUUAACAAUAUUAAAAAUUAAACAAAAGAAAGAAGGAGUCUUUAAAGUGUAUAUUAAAUGUGUGAUUCAUUAUUAAUAUAAUAUAUAAAAUACAAACAAUAGAGUCAGUAACUUGAAAACAACUAAAAUAUCAUAAACUUUAUCAUCCAAAAGAGUAAGCGGAUAACCGCUUUACUUCAUUAUGGUGUAAUUCAUACUGUAUUUCUUAGCCAUACAAUUAACUACAUAAAAGUACUAUAUCAUUAUAACCUCAAUAUAUUCAUCACAUAAAUGAGCAAUGUGUGUACUAUAGUGAAUAUAUUUAUUUGAUACAUAAUGCAACAUAUCUAGGGUUUAUGGAU
RNAcentral lists this long non-coding RNA (5231 nucleotides) under Lathyrus oleraceus (garden pea). Its description in RNAcentral is "Pisum sativum (pea) long non-coding RNA (PSAT_LNC022392)". The record is from RNAcentral. Lineage: Eukaryota; Viridiplantae; Streptophyta; Magnoliopsida; Fabales; Fabaceae.